This 470-nucleotide ribosomal RNA is filed under the name uncultured bacterium. RNAcentral's name for it is "partial 16S ribosomal RNA". It matches the Rfam family "Bacterial small subunit ribosomal RNA", at positions 28 to 507 of the family's 1533-position model. The record is from RNAcentral.
GGUGAACGCUGGCGGCGUGCCUAACACAUGCAAGUCGAGCGGGGCAGGUUUAUCCCUGUUCAGCGGCGGACGGGUGGGUAAGGAGUGGGUGACCUACCCGGAAAAGGCGGACAACCUGGGGAAACCAAGACUAAUCAGCCAUGUGGACCUGUCCUGUGGGCCAGGACUAAAGGGUGGAUAGCCCGCUUCCGGGUGGGCCCGCGUCGCAUCAGCUAGUUGGUGGGGUAAAGGCGCAUAAAGGCGACGACGGGUAGCCGGUCUGAGAGGGUGGCCGGCGACAGGCGCACUUGGACACGGGCCCCAGCCCUACGGGAGGCAGCAGGUAGGAAUGUGCCGCAAUGGACGGAAGUCAGACGGAGCGAGGAGGAGGGGAGGGGGAAGCACGUCGGGGUGGAAACUCCAGAACGGGGGACGAAAGCCCUGUGUAGGGUGAGGACGGUACCCAAGUAAAAGCGCCGGCCAACUCCGUG